This 391-nucleotide long non-coding RNA is filed under the name Numida meleagris (helmeted guineafowl). RNAcentral's name for it is "lncRNA (ENSNMEG00000008686.1)". Lineage: Eukaryota; Metazoa; Chordata; Aves; Galliformes; Numididae. The record is from RNAcentral.
GUGGAGCCAGGCUCCACCCCUCUUAGGCUUCAUUUAAGGGCUGACUGCCCCUAAGGAAGGAUUUCUUCCUGGAGAUCCCUUCUUGGUGGGAGCAUUUCCCUGCGAGCCCAAAAUCUUCCAAUCCAGGUGAGCGCUGUAUUUUCCUUCCACGUAUUUGUAACACUAUUUCCAUUGCGUUAGUCCUUCUGAUUGCUACAGAAUAACAGCCAAAAAAUGUUAUACAGUGAUGAUGCUGACUGAGGAGUUCAGAUUUGAUGAAAACCAGAAUUCUCUUGCUUCAAAAAUGCAGAAGGGGAAGACAGUUCGAUUUGCACAGAGAUUGAGAUCCCUGCGAGUAACUGGAAGCAGACACAUUGUGGGAGAACUUCACAGAGGCAAGAACUGGAAAUAA